This is a long non-coding RNA of Ceratina calcarata, 1216 nucleotides long. RefSeq lists it as uncharacterized. NCBI's taxonomy places the organism in Eukaryota, Metazoa, Arthropoda, Insecta, Hymenoptera, Apidae. The record is from RefSeq and is a predicted model, not a curated record. The transcript is spliced from 3 exons.
ACUAUUACCUACGGAAAAGUGAUAACCAUAAGAAUACAUGCAAUUUUAAGUCAUUAUAAUUUUUCAGAACAUUUUUCGCAUUUUUCAUUUAUGAGACUACAACAAUAAUUGGAAAGGAAAAUGUGGGAUCAUGAAUGAACGAAUGCAGUUCGUAUGCCACGGAUUUCACGUUAAUCAUCAGACAAAUCACAUUUUAGCGCGUCUGCGGCUGAGGACAAUCGUGGAGAGAAUUUUAUCUACUCACACGAGUUUGCGUGACGCUCAGUAAAUCCAUAUCCGUGAUUACUACACCGUGGACACAGGAACACUAUCAUAAAAAAAUGAGUAAGCCUUAUACGUGCAACACGCUGCCUAGUAUCCUUUUACUAACAAAAGGAAGCUCACAUUACUUCAAUUUUCGUUUCAUAAAAUCGUACAAAAAAUAAUUGACAGAAGAAUUAAUGGAUUAAUGAAUACGAUUUUAGAAUAAAUGGCACCGAGUUGUUUAAGAAGGAAAGUACUGAUAAUUUUGGAACAGGUAAGACUACAAAUAUUUUUAAUCUUUGGAAAACGAUUGAAUUAGUAUAAUCAGAAUCUGGAAAAACUACAAAUUCCUUACAAACUAAUAUAAAUAUUUUUACUCUUUGGAAAACGAUCGAAUUAGUAUAAGCAGAAUCUGGUAACAGUCUCUGCUUAGUACGGAGCGUUUGCGAUUGGAACAAUCGGUGGGAUUCGACCCAGACGGUGACGUCGGAGCUAGGCGCCCGACGUCGAUUCAUCAGCAACGAUAAGCUUCUUGAAAAAUUGUAUCUGCUCGUAUUAAUAUCACCGCUUCGGGUCCAGUAUCGGAGGAAAACGCCCGUGUUACACAAUUAACGCCCGCAUUCUGAAUCGAAUAUGUACUUCAUAUUCUUGAACUGCCCCUGGGCAUCCGUUUACCAACCAGGCAGCCAGAAACGCAUGGAAGCGAACACGUGGAAUCACGAGUAAAAUUGCCCGAAGUAAUGAAUUGAACAUUUAAAUUGAGAUCCAAGCAAUAUUCACUUUCUGCUCUCUUGUUCAUCUACGAUUAACAUUCCGUCCACUUAAAUCCGUUUAGGAAUAAUCAGAACUGAACUGGCGGUCAUCGAGCAAGCGGGAUCAUUUAUUACUCGUCUACUUAUUGACUGGAAGAUAUUCAACGAAGCAGCGCGUGUGAAUUCAUGCGGUGAACGUGAGACACGAUCAAAAGUCGACG